This 269-nucleotide ribosomal RNA is filed under the name uncultured bacterium. RNAcentral describes it as "partial 16S ribosomal RNA". It matches the Rfam family "Bacterial small subunit ribosomal RNA", at positions 524 to 776 of the family's 1533-position model. The record is from RNAcentral.
UACGGAGGGUGCGAGCGUUGUCCGGAAUCACUGGGCGUAAAGGGCGCGUAGGCGGCAUGCCAAGCGUGUGGUGAAAGCCCGGGGCUCAACCCCGGGUCGGCCGUGCGGACUGGCGUGCUCGAGCACUGUAGGGGCGGGUGGAAUUCCGGGUGUAGCGGUGGAAUGCGUAGAGAUCCGGAAGAACACCGGUGGCGAAGGCGGCCCGCUGGGCAGGAAGGCUCGCAAGAGCCGGCUGACGCUGAGGCGCGACAUCGUGGGGAGCAAACAGG